This 465-nucleotide ribosomal RNA is filed under the name uncultured Klebsiella sp. Its description in RNAcentral is "bacterial SSU rRNA". It matches the Rfam family "Bacterial small subunit ribosomal RNA", at positions 338 to 795 of the family's 1533-position model. The record is from RNAcentral. Lineage: Bacteria; Pseudomonadati; Pseudomonadota; Gammaproteobacteria; Enterobacterales; Enterobacteriaceae.
CCUACGGGCGGCAGCAGUGGGGAAUAUUGCACAAUGGGCGCAAGCCUGAUGCAGCCAUGCCGCGUGUGUGAAGAAGGCCUUCGGGUUGUAAAGCACUUUCAGCGGGGAGGAAGGCGUUAAGGUUAAUAACCUUGCCGAUUGACGUUACCCGCAGAAGAAGCACCGGCUAACUCCGUGCCAGCAGCCGCGGUAAUACGGAGGGUGCAAGCGUUAAUCGGAAUUACUGGGCGUAAAGCGCACGCAGGCGGUCUGUCAAGUCGGAUGUGAAAUCCCCGGGCUCAACCUGGGAACUGCAUUCGAAACUGGCAGGCUAGAGUCUUGUAGAGGGGGGUAGAAUUCCAGGUGUAGCGGUGAAAUGCGUAGAGAUCUGGAGGAAUACCGGUGGCGAAGGCGGCCCCCUGGACAAAGACUGACGCUCAGGUGCGAAAGCGUGGGGAGCAAACAGGAUUAGAUACCCGUGUAGUC